This 1521-nucleotide ribosomal RNA is filed under the name Salmonella enterica subsp. enterica serovar Typhi str. CT18. RNAcentral describes it as "partial 23S ribosomal RNA". It matches the Rfam family "Bacterial large subunit ribosomal RNA", at positions 1438 to 2925 of the family's 2925-position model. The record is from RNAcentral. Lineage: Bacteria; Pseudomonadati; Pseudomonadota; Gammaproteobacteria; Enterobacterales; Enterobacteriaceae.
CCCGUACUUGGUGUUACUGCGAAGGGGGGACGGAGAAGGCUAUGUUGGCCGGGCGACGGUUGUCCCGGUUUAAGCGUGUAGGUAUGUGUUCCAGGUAAAUCCGGUUCACUUUAACACUGAGGCGUGACGACGAGGCACUACGGUGCUGAAGCAACAAAUGCCCUGCUUCCAGGAAAAGCCUCUAAGCAUCAGGUAACAUCAAAUCGUACCCCAAACCGACACAGGUGGUCAGGUAGAGAAUACCAAGGCGCUUGAGAGAACUCGGGUGAAGGAACUAGGCAAAAUGGUGCCGUAACUUCGGGAGAAGGCACGCUGACACGUAGGUGAAGUGAUUUACUCACGGAGCUGAAGUCAGCCGAAGAUACCAGCUGGCUGCAACUGUUUAUUAAAAACACAGCACUGUGCAAACACGAAAGUGGACGUAUACGGUGUGACGCCUGCCCGGUGCCGGAAGGUUAAUUGAUGGGGUCAGCGCAAGCGAAGCUCCUGAUCGAAGCCCCGGUAAACGGCGGCCGUAACUAUAACGGUCCUAAGGUAGCGAAAUUCCUUGUCGGGUAAGUUCCGACCUGCACGAAUGGCGUAAUGAUGGCCAGGCUGUCUCCACCCGAGACUCAGUGAAAUUGAACUCGCUGUGAAGAUGCAGUGUACCCGCGGCAAGACGGAAAGACCCCGUGAACCUUUACUAUAGCUUGACACUGAACAUUGAGCCUUGAUGUGUAGGAUAGGUGGGAGGCUUUGAAGUGUGGACGCCAGUCUGCAUGGAGCCGACCUUGAAAUACCACCCUUUAAUGUUUGAUGUUCUAACGUGGACCCGUGAUCCGGGUUGCGGACAGUGUCUGGUGGGUAGUUUGACUGGGGCGGUCUCCUCCUAAAGAGUAACGGAGGAGCACGAAGGUUGGCUAAUCCUGGUCGGACAUCAGGAGGUUAGUGCAAUGGCAUAAGCCAGCUUGACUGCGAGCGUGACGGCGCGAGCAGGUGCGAAAGCAGGUCAUAGUGAUCCGGUGGUUCUGAAUGGAAGGGCCAUCGCUCAACGGAUAAAAGGUACUCCGGGGAUAACAGGCUGAUACCGCCCAAGAGUUCAUAUCGACGGCGGUGUUUGGCACCUCGAUGUCGGCUCAUCACAUCCUGGGGCUGAAGUAGGUCCCAAGGGUAUGGCUGUUCGCCAUUUAAAGUGGUACGCGAGCUGGGUUUAGAACGUCGUGAGACAGUUCGGUCCCUAUCUGCCGUGGGCGCUGGAGAACUGAGGGGGGCUGCUCCUAGUACGAGAGGACCGGAGUGGACGCAUCACUGGUGUUCGGGUUGUCAUGCCAAUGGCACUGCCCGGUAGCUAAAUGCGGAAGAGAUAAGUGCUGAAAGCAUCUAAGCACGAAACUUGCCCCGAGAUGAGUUCUCCCUGAGACUUUAGGUCUCCUGAAGGAACGUUGAAGACGACGACGUUGAUAGGCCGGGUGUGUAAGCGCAGCGAUGCGUUGAGCUAACCGGUACUAAUGAACCGUGAGGCUUAACCUUACAACGCCGAAG